CGCUAGCUUGUUUCAAGUUAGAGAUAUAUUCGAUUAGCAUGAAAACAUAUCCCAGGGAGCGAUCGAGUGUGUUAUGGGUCAGUGUCUGUCUCCCUGUCCCAGCCUGUUUUCCUGUUCCCCUUUCCCUUGUGUGUGUGUGUGUGUGUGUGUGUGUGUUGUCUGUCUGUCUACAUGUCACUCAAGAGGAUCUAGGUCAAGGGGCGUGGCCACUCUCACCUGCUCUGCUCCAGCCAGCUGCAGAUCAUUCCAGUAAUUAACCAACAGUUAUCUACCCGGGCUGUUCACCUCUUCAGCGCCAGUUCGUUGCAACCAUUCCUGUGGUAACGUGGCUCCACUCUGUGCUCGAGAGAAUUCAGUCCUUUUACUAGCAUACCUGUUGCCUCCUUUGUGCUUGUCUCACGCUUCCCAUCUCUGUUCAGAUUCCGCCUCUGGACCUGCUGCUUUUCGGUUCUCAUCUGCCUCCUCGCUGCCUGCUCACCUCGCAACUCCGUUCUCAACCAGCCUUUCCACCCAGCUCUCGUCUUCGCUGCCUGGCCACACACCCGCCGUCUGAUCUCCAGCUUCGACUCCACCUGGAGCUGCUCUCCUGGCCAUUCCCUCCUGCACUAUCCACAUUGUGUCCAAUAAAACACUGCUAACCGCU
Long non-coding RNA from Perca fluviatilis (European perch), 643 nucleotides. RefSeq lists it as uncharacterized. The record is from RefSeq and is a predicted model, not a curated record. The transcript has 2 exons. Lineage: Eukaryota; Metazoa; Chordata; Actinopteri; Perciformes; Percidae.